CUCGGGCUGGGGGACACCCUCCCCGCCCUGAUCGUGGCCUCGGCCCUGACGGGACUGGCGGGGGCGCUGUUCAAUCCGGCGGUCCGCGCC
Molecule: transfer RNA, 90 nt
Filed under: Streptomyces hygroscopicus
Lineage: Bacteria; Bacillati; Actinomycetota; Actinomycetes; Kitasatosporales; Streptomycetaceae
Description: tRNA-Ser
Source: RNAcentral